This 453-nucleotide ribosomal RNA is filed under the name Ceriagrion cerinorubellum. Its description in RNAcentral is "partial 16S ribosomal RNA". Lineage: Eukaryota; Metazoa; Arthropoda; Insecta; Odonata; Coenagrionidae. The record is from RNAcentral.
UAGAAAUAAAUUUAAUUUAACCUUGACAUUUACUUUUUUCUUUUUUAAUGAAUUAUUUGUUAAGUUAAAAAUAAUAAGGGAUAAGCUUUAUUUUUUUCUAUAAUUUUUUUUAUUUUUUGAAUUUAGUAGGAAUAAAAUCACCCGUCUUUAUAUUACGUUAUAGUAUAAUUCAUUUAUAUUAAAUUUUCUUUGAUUUAGAUUUAUUAUUAAAAUUUAUUAAUUAAUUUUAUAUUAAUAUUAAUUAUGAUUAAAUUAGUAUAUAAUUAUGUUUUUAGUUUAUUAUAUUCUAUAUAUAUUUGAGGAACUCGGCAAAUAUUAUGUUCGCCUGUUUAUCAAAAACAUGUCCUUUCGUUUUUUUUUGGAAGGUCUGGCCUGCCCAGUGAAUUAAUUUUAACGGCCGCGGUAUAUUGACCGUGCAAAGGUAGCAUAAUCAUUAGUCUUUUAAUUGAAGGC